This 72-nucleotide transfer RNA is filed under the name Pangasianodon gigas (Mekong giant catfish). Its description in RNAcentral is "tRNA-Glu". It matches the Rfam family "tRNA". From Rfam's summary of the family: Transfer RNA (tRNA) molecules are approximately 80 nucleotides in length. The record is from RNAcentral. Lineage: Eukaryota; Metazoa; Chordata; Actinopteri; Siluriformes; Pangasiidae.
UCUCUGGAGGACUAGUGGUUAGGUCAUGGUGCUCUCACUGCCAUGGCCCAGGUUCGAUUCCCGGCCAGGGAA